Myodes glareolus (Bank vole) is the source of this 103-nucleotide small nuclear RNA. Lineage: Eukaryota; Metazoa; Chordata; Mammalia; Rodentia; Cricetidae. The record is from RefSeq and is a predicted model, not a curated record.
GGGCUUCGACAGCACGUGUACUGGAAAUGGGGCGAUGCCGAGAAGAUUAGCGCGGCUCCUGCGCAAGGAUGGCACGCAGGUUCCUAAAGCGUUUCCUCUUUCU